GUGGGGAAUUUUGGACAAUGGGCGCAAGCCUGAUCCAGCAAUGCCGCGUGUGUGAAGAAGGCCUUCGGGUUGUAAAGCACUUUUGUCCGGAAAGAAAUCUCCUGGGUUAAUACCUCGGGGGGAUGACGGUACCGGAAGAAUAAGCACCGGCUAACUACGUGCCAGCAGCCGCGGUAAUACGUAGGGUGCGAGCGUUAAUCGGAAUUACUGGGCGUAAAGCGUGCGCAGGCGGUUUUGUAAGACAGAUGUGAAAUCCCCGGGCUUAACCUGGGAAUUGCAUUUGUGACUGCAAGGCUAGAGUGUGUCAGAGGGGGGUAGAAUUCCACGUGUAGCAGUGAAAUGCGUAGAGAUGUGGAGGAAUACCGAUGGCGAAGGCAGCCCCCUGGGAUAACACUGACGCUCAUGCACGAAAGCGUGGGGAGCAAACAGGAUUAGAAACCCUUGUAGUCC
RNAcentral lists this ribosomal RNA (450 nucleotides) under uncultured bacterium. RNAcentral describes it as "partial 16S ribosomal RNA". It matches the Rfam family "Bacterial small subunit ribosomal RNA", at positions 354 to 796 of the family's 1533-position model. The record is from RNAcentral.